Molecule: ribosomal RNA, 1333 nt
Filed under: uncultured bacterium
Lineage: Bacteria
Description: bacterial SSU rRNA
Rfam family: Bacterial small subunit ribosomal RNA
Source: RNAcentral
GACGAACGCUGGCGGCGCGCCUAACACAUGCAAGUCGAACGAGAGAUGAGGAGCUUGCUCUUUCAAAUCGAGUGGCGAACGGGUGAGUAACGCGUGAGGAACCUGCCUCAAAGAGGGGGACAACAGUUGGAAACGACUGCUAAUACCGCAUAAGCCCACGGCUCGGCAUCGAGCAGAGGGAAAAGGAGCAAUCCGCUUUGAGAUGGCCUCGCGUCCGAUUAGCUAGUUGGUGAGGUAACGGCCCACCAAGGCGACGAUCGGUAGCCGGACUGAGAGGUUGAACGGCCACAUUGGGACUGAGACACGGCCCAGACUCCUACGGGAGGCAGCAGUGGGGAAUAUUGCACAAUGGGGGAAACCCUGAUGCAGCGACGCCGCGUGGAGGAAGAAGGUCUUCGGAUUGUAAACUCCUGUUGUUGAGGAAGAUAAUGACGGUACUCAACAAGGAAGUGACGGCUAACUACGUGCCAGCAGCCGCGGUAAAACGUAGGUCACAAGCGUUGUCCGGAAUUACUGGGUGUAAAGGGAGCGCAGGCGGGAGAACAAGUUGGAAGUGAAGUCCAUGGGCUCAACCCAUGAACUGCUUUCAAAACUGUUUUUCUUGAGUAGUGCAGAGGUAGGCGGAAUUCCCGGUGUAGCGGUGGAAUGCGUAGAUAUCGGGAGGAACACCAGUGGCGAAGGCGGCCUACUGGGCACCAACUGACGCUGAGGCUCGAAAGUGUGGGUAGCAAACAGGAUUAGAUACCCUGGUAGUCCGCACCGUAAACGAUGAUUACUAGGUGUUGGAGGAUUGACCCCUUCAGUGCCGCAGUUAACACAAUAAGUAAUCCACCUGGGGAGUACGACCGCAAGGUUGAAACUCAAAGGAAUUGACGGGGGCCCGCACAAGCAGUGGAGUAUGCGGUUUAAUUCGACGCAACGCGAAGAACCUUACCAAGUCUUGACAUCCCUUGACGAUGCUGGAAACAGUAUUUCUCUUCGGAGCAAGGAGACAGGUGGUGCAUGGUUGUCGUCAGCUCGUGUCGUGAGAUGUUGGGUUAAGUCCCGCAACGAGCGCAACCCUUAUGGUCAGUUACUACGCAAGAGGACUCUGGCCAGACUGCCGUUGACAAAACGGAGGAAGGUGGGGAUGACGUCAAAUCAUCAUGCCCUUUAUGACUUGGGCUACACACGUACUACAAUGGCGUUAAACAAAGAGAAGCAAGACCGCGAGGUGGAGCAAAACUCAGAAACAACGUCCCAGUUCGGACUGCAGGCUGCAACUCGCCUGCACGAAGUCGGAAUUGCUAGUAAUCGUGGAUCAGCAUGCCACGGUGAAUAUGUUCCCGGGCCU